AUCCGUUUGGUUUAUGCUUGCGUGAUAUCUGUAUUGUAGGAUCUCGAGUUCGUCCAGUUCCGUCCUACAGUCAUAUAUGGUGCUGGAUGCCUCAUCACAGGAAGAUGUCAUUGCAGCCAAAGAACCAAGUAGGUGAUGGAGCUUGUGGAAAAUGGAUAUAUGUACAAGAGCAUGUGAUAGAAUAUAUGAAUAUCCUGGCCAGCUAGCUACGUUAGUUUUCUCCCUUCCAUGGCAAGUGGCAACAGACCAGUUCCAUAGCACCUUGGUUGGGUGGUGAGGUUGAGAUGUCGCGCGGCAGAGUAGCCAACCAAGGCCUAUUAUUUUUGCAGUCCUAUUGAGGUCUGCCGACAGGUUCAGACUUUCCAGUCAAGGAAUUUAUGCAUUUUCUUCAUGAAACAUACAUCCUGUGGUGAGGGGCUCUCCCCCAUCUCCCGUGUUUCCCCUCUGCAAUUUCCUUAUUUCCACAACUCCUCUUCCGCGUUCGGAUUGGGUUAGGUGUAACACACUCAUCUUGCAAGCUUUCUUCGAUCUGGAGAAUGGCAACCAGGAGCUCAAGAGCGACCUAAGGACCUCUGCAUCAACACCGCGAUCCAGUUGGAUAUCGUCGGGAACAGGAAGGCCGUGGAACCACGUGCCCUGCCGCCUACACAAGGCCUUCAGGAAGAUCCAUGCUAGGCUCGUGAGGGAGCUCGAGAAGAAGUUCAGCGGCAAGUAGUAUACAUAUGUAACACCUCUAUCGUUUAUUGAGGAGGUUCUUAGACCACUAAAUAUGUCAGCAUCAAAUGGGAAGUGGAUCGAUGGGCUCCAGUUCUCAUCUCUGUUCUGCCCUGGCACAUGAUGUGCAGCAGAAACAGGCACAAACUUUGGUCUAUGUUGAGUGCUUUGGUCAGCUUACAUGUGAGAGCGAGCAAUUUCCGAAGGAUGUAGCUCAGCUCAUUUAGAGUUGAUAUCCAUCAAAUGAAAAACGUUUGGUAGCUGAAGUAUCAAGUAAAAUAUGACUUC
Long non-coding RNA from Lolium rigidum, 1002 nucleotides. RefSeq lists it as uncharacterized. The record is from RefSeq and is a predicted model, not a curated record. Lineage: Eukaryota; Viridiplantae; Streptophyta; Magnoliopsida; Poales; Poaceae. The transcript has 9 exons.